GAGUUUGAUCAUGGCUCAGAUUGAACGCUGGCGGCAUGCCUUACACAUGCAAGUCGAACGGCAGCACGGGAGCUUGCUCCUGGUGGCGAGUGGUGAACGGGUGAGUAAUGCAUCGGAACGUAUCCUGGAGUGGGGGAUAACGUAGCGAAAGUUACGCUAAUACCGCAUAUUCUGUGAGCAGGAAAGCGGGGGACCUUCGGGCCUCGCGCUCUUGGAGCGGCCGAUGUCGGAUUAGCUAGUUGGUGAGGUAAAGGCUCACCAAGGCGACGAUCCGUAGCAGGUCUGAGAGGAUGAUCUGCCACACUGGAACUGAGACACGGUCCAGACUCCUACGGGAGGCAGCAGUGGGGAAUUUUGGACAAUGGGGGCAACCCUGAUCCAGCCAUGCCGCGUGAGUGAAGAAGGCCU
This 408-nucleotide ribosomal RNA is filed under the name bacterium enrichment culture clone ALO1_GLFRUDD03GQTWP. Its description in RNAcentral is "bacterial SSU rRNA". It matches the Rfam family "Bacterial small subunit ribosomal RNA", at positions 9 to 417 of the family's 1533-position model. The record is from RNAcentral.